UGCCAGCCGCCGCGGUAAUACGAAUGGUGCGAGCGUUGUUCGGAAUCACUGGGCAUAAAGGGCGCGUAGGCGGCGAUGUAAGUCAGUUGUGAAAUCCCUCGGCUCAACCGAGGAACUGCAGCUGAUACUGCAUUGCUUGAGUAUGGGAGGGGAAAGUGGAAUUCCAGGUGGAGCGGUGAAAUGCGUAGAUAUCUGGAGGAACGCCGGAGGCGAAAGCGACUUUCUGGCCCAUAACUGACGCUGAGGCGCGAAAGCUAGGGGAGCGAACAGGAUUAGAUA
RNAcentral lists this ribosomal RNA (279 nucleotides) under uncultured bacterium. Its description in RNAcentral is "partial 16S ribosomal RNA". It matches the Rfam family "Bacterial small subunit ribosomal RNA", at positions 506 to 784 of the family's 1533-position model. The record is from RNAcentral.